GACGAACGCUGGCGGCGUGCCUAAUACAUGCAAGUAGAACGCACAGUUUAUACUUUCGCUUGCUUCACCAUAGACUGUGAGUUGUGAACGGGUGAGUAACGCGUCUGUAACCUGCCUUGUAGCGGGGGAUAACUAUUGGAAACGAUAGCUAAUACCGCAUAAUAUUAAUUAUUGCAUGAUAAUUAAUUGAAAGGUGUAAUUGCACCACUACCAGAUUGACCUGCGUUGUAUUAGCUUGUAGGUGCGGUAACGGCUCACCUAGGCGACGAUACAGAGCCCACAGGAGGGGGUGGGCAGCCAGACUGGGAGGGGGACAGGGCCCAGAGGGCUACGGGAGGGAGCAGGAGGGAAACUUGGGCAAGGGGCGAAAGACUGACCGAGAAACGCCGCGGGAGUGAAGAAGGAUGUCGGAUCGGAAAGCUCGGUUGUAAGAGAAGAAAGGGUGUGAGAGUGGAAAGUUCACUAUGUGACGGUAUCUGAACAGAAAGAGACGGCUAACUACGUG
RNAcentral lists this ribosomal RNA (505 nucleotides) under uncultured bacterium. Its description in RNAcentral is "partial 16S ribosomal RNA". It matches the Rfam family "Bacterial small subunit ribosomal RNA", at positions 28 to 507 of the family's 1533-position model. The record is from RNAcentral.